UACGGAGGGUGCAAGCGUUGUCCGGAUUUAUUGGGGUUAAAGGGUGCGUAGGCGGCCUUGUAAGUCAGUGGUGAAAGCCUCCAGCUCAACUGGAGAACUGCCAUUGAUACUGCAAGGCUUGAGUACAGACGAGGUUGGCGGAAUUGAUUGUGUAGCGGUGAAAUGCAUAGAUACAAUCAAGAACUCCGAUUGCGUAGGCAGCUAACUAGGCUGUAACUGACGCUGAGGCACGAAAGCGUGGGGAGCGAACAGG
RNAcentral lists this ribosomal RNA (253 nucleotides) under uncultured bacterium. Its description in RNAcentral is "partial 16S ribosomal RNA". It matches the Rfam family "Bacterial small subunit ribosomal RNA", at positions 524 to 776 of the family's 1533-position model. The record is from RNAcentral.